Molecule: long non-coding RNA, 648 nt
Filed under: Homo sapiens (human)
Lineage: Eukaryota; Metazoa; Chordata; Mammalia; Primates; Hominidae
Description: HSALNT0408164
Source: RNAcentral
AAGAUGUUAGCAGACCCAUCUUAGAGUUCUUGUUUCUUUCUUAAGCCCUUUGCUCUGGAGGAAGUUCUCCAGCUUCAGCUCAACUCACAGCUUCUCCAAGCAUCACCCUGGGAGUGUCCUGAGAGUUUUCUCAUAAAUGAGGGCUGCACGUUGCCUGUUCUGCUUCAAAGUAUUUAAUACGGCUCAGUAUUUUAAAUGAAGUGAUUCUAACUUGUGAUUUCGUUUGGGAUCAAUAGGAAAGCAUAUGCAGCCAACCAAGAUGCAAAUGUUUUGAAAUGAUAUGACUAAAAUUUUAAGUAGGAAAGUCACCCAAACACUUCUGCUUUCACUUAAGUGUCUGGCCCGCAAUACUGUAGGAACAAGCAUGACCUUGUUACUGUGAGAUUUAAAAUAUCCACAGUAUUCACUUUUUCCAAAUGAUCCUAGUAAUUGCCUAGAAAUAUCUUUCUCUUACCUGUUAUUUAUCAAUUUUUCCCAAUAUUUUUAUACGGAAAAAAUUGUAUUGAGAACACUUAGUAUGCAGUUGAUAAGAGGAAUUUGGUAUAAUUAUGGUGGGUGAUUAUUUUUUAUACUGUAUGUGCCAAAGCUUUACUACUGUGGAAAGACAGCUGUUUUAAUAAAAGAUUUACAUUCCACAAAAGAAAAGAA